CGGCGUAGCUCAAUGGUGGAGCAAUCGGCUGUUAACCGAUCGGUUACUGGUUCGAGUCCAGUCGCCGGAG
This 70-nucleotide transfer RNA is filed under the name Candidatus Ectomicrobium neotermitis. Its description in RNAcentral is "tRNA-Asn". It matches the Rfam family "tRNA". From Rfam's summary of the family: Transfer RNA (tRNA) molecules are approximately 80 nucleotides in length. Their secondary structure includes four short double-helical elements and three loops (D, anti-codon, and T loops). Further hydrogen bonds mediate the characteristic L-shaped molecular structure. tRNAs have two regions of fundamental functional importance: the anti-codon, which is responsible for specific mRNA codon recognition, and the 3' end, to which the tRNAs corresponding amino acid is attached (by aminoacyl-tRNA synthetases). tRNAs cope with the degeneracy of the genetic code in two manners: having more than one tRNA (with a specific anti-codon) for a particular amino acid; and 'wobble' base-pairing, i.e. permitting non-standard base-pairing at the 3rd anti-codon position. The record is from RNAcentral. Lineage: Bacteria; Pseudomonadati; Elusimicrobiota; Endomicrobiia; Endomicrobiales; Endomicrobiaceae.